GAAGCGGAGAUGCACUUAUUGUUAGAUGAAGCAAACAACAAUGAAGAAAUAUAUGAAUCCCAUAUGAGUGAAUAAAUAUGAUGAAAGGAAUAAGCAAACGUUAUACUCUCAUCAUGUAAUUAGAGCAAGAAUCAAUGCUUUAUUUUGUCAGUUCCAUCACCUAUGACUGAUUACAUUCACCGAGGAAGCUGUUGUAUAAGUGAUAUCAGUACCGAGAAAAUGUGGUACUUCAUUAUAUGUGAAUAAAGUAAAUGAUGCAGAAUUUUUUGAGAGCAGUUGACUAAAGAUAUUAUCCAGACAGGAGCGAGAAGAAAGUGCAAAUUUUGUGACAAGCUGACUCGAGAAAUCGAUAGAGAUUAUCGAGUUUUUAAAAAUUGUGCUCAUGCCUAACAAAGUGUUAUUUCGCAGAC
Ctenocephalides felis (cat flea) is the source of this 410-nucleotide long non-coding RNA. RefSeq lists it as uncharacterized. Lineage: Eukaryota; Metazoa; Arthropoda; Insecta; Siphonaptera; Pulicidae. The transcript has 3 exons. The record is from RefSeq and is a predicted model, not a curated record.